This 68-nucleotide transfer RNA is filed under the name Anilany helenae. RNAcentral describes it as "tRNA-Met". Lineage: Eukaryota; Metazoa; Chordata; Amphibia; Anura; Microhylidae. The record is from RNAcentral.
AGCAUAGUCAGCUAAUUAAGCUUCUGGGCCCAUACCCCAAAAAUGUUGGCUAAGCCCAACUUAUGCUA